CAAGAGCCAUAACUCUCGCUCCCAACUCCACCCUCUCCGCCGUCGACAGCCGUUCGAUCGACAAGGCCAGGUGAUUUGCGGCCCAGAACGGGUUUCCGGACUCCGUCAAGAUCUACGGUAGCUAUGACGCGGUACUCGACGAUCCGUCCGUCGACGCCGUGUACGCGCCUCUCCUGACCAGCCUGCACGUGCGGUGGGCGGUGUCGGCAGCUGAGAGGAAGAAGCACGUGCUGCUGGAAAAGCCGACGGCCCUGAACGUGGCGGAUCUGGACCUGAUAUUGGAUGCUUGCUGGUCGAGUGGGAUCCAGUUCAUGGAUGGCACGAUGUGGAUGCACCACCCGAGGACACAGAUGAUGGAGGAGGCGCUCUCCGACACAACGCGUUUCGGGCAGCUCAGAUCGGUAAUAAAUUCUAAAUUUUCGCCUCACGUGGCACACACGUAAUAGAUCCGGACCGUUUAUCUGCUGUGAAAUACUCUGGAUUGAGAUCCUUCCUAAAAUACACCAGACAUUUGAUCCUGGCCACUGAUUGGAUAAUUUAUGGCGAUCGGGCGGUCAGAAAAAAUCGAUGCAAUGGUCAAGAUAAGUGUUACAAAGAUCAUCUAACGGCUGAUUCAUAUUUUGUCUCUGGUAAUGGUGUCCUCUAUGGGUCGGCUCCAAUAGUAUUGAGUUUGGACUGUGUUGUGUGCCUUCAACUAGUAUGUGAGGAUGAAGAAACGAAUAAGGGAAAAGUGCAAUGCCCUUUAUCCUCGGCUCGUAUAACUUUAAGAAAGCGCUGCCAAGUGAAGGGAUUGAACAAAGAGGCCAACGCCGCAAGAUAGCCACAAUGACUACUCAUUUCAAUCCCUUGAUACACGAGCCCGAAGCGCUCGUGUCCCUUAUCAAGAAAUGCGGGUCCCUCAGGGAACUGAAGCCCAUCCAGGCCCACAUGGUACGGACUGGUCUGGACCAUGACCCUUUUCUCACAAGCAAGCUCAUCGAGUCCACGGCCAUCACCCUAACCGGCCACGUUUCCCAUGCCCAGCUCAUCUUCUCCAGGGCCCACCAACCAAACACCUUCAUGUGGAACACCAUGAUCAGGGGUCACUCUCUCACCGAUGCUCCACUUAACUCCCUCUCUCUAUACCAGCGUAUGCACUCGAGUGGGGCUCAAAUCAACAGCUACACGCUCGCGUUUGUGCUCAAAGCGUGCUGCCGCUUGCUGAGGUUGGAAGAAGGGAGGCAGAUCCAUGGGCAGAUCACGAAGAUGGGCCACGAUUCUGAAGUGCCCAUGAUCAACGGCCUGAUUCGGUUGUAUGUGAGCUGCGGGCGCGUCGAUUCUGCGAGGCAGGUGUUUGAUGUAAUGGCUGAGAGAGAUUCCAAUUCGUGGAGCGUCCUGAUUGCUGGGUACGCGCAGAAUGGUGGCCCACAUGAGGCGCUUGCUCUUUUUAGGGAAAUGCAGAUCUCAGACGUUGAUAUUGAUGGGUUCACCCUAGCCAGCGUUGUGGGCGUUUGUGGGGAGUUGGGGGCCUUGGACUUGGGCAAAUGGGUGCAUUCUUACAUUGAUAGGAAGGGCGUGGAAAUAGAUGUUGUUUUGGGGAAUGCUCUGGUGGACAUGUACGCGAAAUGUGGGCUAUUGGAUAAGGCCCAUAGGGUUUUUCAACGGAUGGAUGAGAAGGAUGUUUUUGUGUGGUCCACCAUGAUCGGAGGGUAUGCCAUACAUGGGUAUGGCAAGAAAGCUCUGCAAGUGUUUGCAGACAUGAUAAGUGCCAACGUAAGGCCCACUUGUGUCACAUUCACCAGCGUGUUGUGUGCAUGCAGCCACUCGGGACUGAUUGACGAGGGCCGCCGAUGCUUUGACAGCAUGCGGUCCGAGUACAGGAUCGAGCCCCAGAUCGAGCACUAUGGUUGCAUGGUCGAUCUCUUCUGCCGGGCGGGCUGCAUCAACGAAGCGCAUGACUUCAUUUCUAGCAUGCCGAUCGAGCCAAACGCGGUGCUGUGGCGAACAUUGCUUAGUGCUUGCAAGGCCCGUGGCCACACAGAGCUUGGAGCCUACAUAAGCAGGAAGCUGCUUGAGCUUGAUCCUAAGAGUGGCGAGAAUUACGUGCUGGUUUCUAACAUAUAUGCUUCGCUUGGGAGAUGGUCUAGUGUAAGUAAGAUUAGGACUUUGAUGAAGAAUAGGAAGGUGAAGAGAAGGCAUGCUUGGAGCUCUAUAGAGGUGAAUUUCACACUCCAUGAAUUUGUGAUGGGAGACGACUCACACCCAGAAAGCAAUGAGAUAUAUAGGAUGGUGGAUAGGAUGGCCAGGAGGUUGAGAGAGGCAGGACACGUUGCAGCCACUACUGAUGUGUUGCAUGACAUUGAUGAAGAGGAGAAGGAGCAUGUGCUGGGUCUCCAUAGCGAGCGAUUGGCCAUUGCAUAUGGGCUUCUUCGGACGUGCAAAGGAUCACCCAUUCGGGUUGUGAAGAAUCUUCGAGUGUGCAGCGACUGCCAUUCGGUGACGAAGAUAAUCUCAAGCAUUUAUGAGAGAGAGAUCAUCAUCAGGGACCGAGUUCGGUUCCACCACUUCAAAGAUGGGAAGUGUUCCUGUGCCGAUUACUGGUGAAACCUUUUUCAAUGUUUUGCUAUAGAAGUACACCUACAGCAGCAUGGUAUGAGAAAUGAUGUGAUCCGUGUUCAUGUGAUUCGAAGCUCACAUGUGCAAGUCCGAUGCGAGUGCUUGCAACAUCAAGAUGAUAAAUGUGCUAUCAUCUCCCAAGCAUGAGUACCUGGAAGCCAAUGCGAUUGAGUUUGAAUGUGAGAACCGUUUGGGCAUUACCCAAAUCGGAGUUUGCCUAUGAAUGCAACCAAUGAUAAUUUUGUUGAUUCUCACCCCACCCCGAAUCUUGUUUUGGGGUUGGUAUGUUGAAUUUGGAAAGUGAGGACUUCGCCAAGAAAGUAGUAGACGCUACGCAAACUAGUUUACAGGUUUGCAAUUUGAGACUCUUGAUCACUUUUGUGGUCUUAUCCUUAUCUUGAUUGCAUUUGGAUCUUUUGUUGGCUGCUGAUGUUCCGUCUGCAUGUUCUGGCUUGCAAAUUUAGUUUAAAUUUCUUUAGAACAACAACCCGUUUGGUAGAAGAGGCAACACCUCUAACUAUGCUCUCUGAGCAGUAGCUCCUUUGGAGCCCGCUUUCACGUUGACCCAAGGAUCUUAGCGUGGAACUACCAAAUCUGCCCGUUGAUUCCAAGAGUGAGAUGCAGUGUUUUUUGUUUUUGUUUGUUAAUCUCAUUUUAUUCUUAUACCUAUAAAGGCACUUAAUUUUAUGGAUUUGAUAUUGAAUUUGGUAUGCUUACAGGUUAAGUUGCAAGUUAUUAAUUUAAUGGAUUUGAUAUUGAAUUUGUUAUUAGCUAUCUAGAUGAUGAAUGUCAAUUACGAUUGAUUAUGGAAUUGUUUAAGUAUAGGACAAUCAGUUGCCCAUUUGAGAAUUUCUAUGCAGGUCAAAACAAACAAACGAUAUGUAGGAGCUUCAAAUUGGACCGUUCAGGUGAAGCGCCACAUCCUUAUUAUUUUAUUCUGUUUAGGCUUGAGUGUGCAACUUAGACGGUAUAGUUUAGAGUAUCUCAAAGUGAAUGGAAUCCACAGUAUACUGCAAGUGUGAAUGGGCCAUGGGCCAUGUUGUCAGCCCUAGGCUCUUUCGAUUUCAUUGAUGGGUAUGUAUGAAUUUUGUGAAUUUUCGUCAUGGGGAAUCGAUCGUUUGUUAUUAGAAGUGAGCCAUGUUGAUUCUGCUGCGAGUAUUGUCCACUAUUUUCAUAAAAUUUGUGUAAUUUCUGUUGCUUAUGUAGGUAUGAAAAGCCUGUGAAAGGAAGGAAAAUCAGGUGGGCCUCAUAGUCAAAUCAGCGGUAGUUGUCCACUCUCAAAUUGUUCUAUGGUUAUUUUCUCCAUCAACGAAAGGCAGAGAUGACAGAUUCCCUGAGAAAGGUUCAUAUGUAUGUAGAUUCUCAGGAAAAGGUUAUAGCUCAGUAUCAGUGGAAAUGGUCAGAAGGCAAGCUUUAUUUCUAGGUGACUCAGAGCUGCAGCAACUGCUUCACAUCUUCAGG
Molecule: RNA transcript, 4056 nt
Organism: Magnolia sinica
Lineage: Eukaryota; Viridiplantae; Streptophyta; Magnoliopsida; Magnoliales; Magnoliaceae
Gene name: transcription factor MYB58-like
Exons: 5
Source: RefSeq, a predicted model, not a curated record